UACAGAGGGUGCGAGCGUUAAUCGGAAUUACUGGGCGUAAAGCGUGCGUAGACGGUCAAGUAAGUCGGGUGUGAAAGCCCCGGGCUCAACCUGGGAAUUGCAUUCGAGACUGCGUGGCUAGGGUGCGGAAGAGGGAAGCGGAAUUUCCGGUGUAGCGGUGAAAUGCGCAGAUAUGUGGAGGAACACCGAUGGCGAAGGCAGCCCCCUGGGUCAAGACUGACGCUCAUGCACGAAAGCGUGGGGAGCAAACAGG
RNAcentral lists this ribosomal RNA (253 nucleotides) under uncultured bacterium. Its description in RNAcentral is "partial 16S ribosomal RNA". It matches the Rfam family "Bacterial small subunit ribosomal RNA", at positions 524 to 776 of the family's 1533-position model. The record is from RNAcentral.